GGUCAAGCUACAAAGGGCAGAUGGUGGAUACCUAGGCACACAGAGCGGGCCGCAAAAAUGAAAGGGUGCCGCG
RNAcentral lists this ribosomal RNA (73 nucleotides) under Microcoleus sp. SR7 (SE). RNAcentral describes it as "partial 23S ribosomal RNA". Lineage: Bacteria; Bacillati; Cyanobacteriota; Cyanophyceae; Oscillatoriales; Microcoleaceae. The record is from RNAcentral.